AGCUUUAGAAGUUCUUAUUGUUCUUAGCAUAAUCAGCAAUGUUUGAACACGAUGUUCAAACAAGCCUCCACUGAGCCAUGGAUGGCGAAUUGGAGGCGGUUGCGUCAUAUAGCGAAAUACUUGAUAAGAACAAUUAGAACUUCUUAAGUU
RNAcentral lists this non-coding RNA (150 nucleotides) under pig gut metagenome. The record is from RNAcentral.